UCUUGCAUUAGUCUAAGGCUAAAGGUCCCUAUGGCUCCAUAGAGUGUGAUUAGGACCUUAUCAGAGUUUUGAAUUUAAGCACCACUGGCAACUAACUAGUGAACUGGAGAAACAAAUCGGAGCUCUCAUAAUAAACUUCUACUUAAAGAAAAUAGUUUUAUUUUCUAAUUUAAUUUAAUUCUAAUUUAAUUUUUCUUAAAAGAAAAAUAAACUUUUUCCUGCCAACACAAGAGCCUUCUUACUAUUCUCUUAGAGAAAGAAGCAAGGCAAUGGUACACAGUAGAAAGAAUUAGGGGUUAUCAAUCAAAAAUUGGUCUCCAACUGCUGUGGGAAAAUCAUUUCAACUUGCUGAGCCUCAGUUUUCCCCUCAGGGGUUAUUAAACCAGACACUAGAGAAUCUCUUGCGUUCCCCCCAGUUCUAAGAGCUGUGAUCCUAGAAAACGAGGAGAUGUUUCUGAGGAAGGAUGAAGAAAAUAUAAUGAAAGAUGAGGGAAGCAAGAAGGAACAGAAUAAUUGCCUCUUCAGCCCUUUGCAAUGCACUGCAUCGAGGAUUUCAACAAGGACUCUGGAGUUCGGAGGUGAAUUUCCCCUGAGUUGCUCCUGGCUACAUCUUGACCUAGAAAGCUGGAUAAAAUCUCUCAUCUGAAGUGGUCUGUGAAAGUGACCACUGUUCCCCUCCCAGAGCAGCACUCAUCACCCGUCCCUAAGGCCAACACCCAUGGCGGGCAGGGCAGUGGCACGGGAAACAGCUGGAGCUUCCAAAAAGCUGCCAGUCCCUGUGUCUGGAAAAGGAGAAGUGGGGGUAGGUAGAAUUUCAUAAUCACAGAGAGCAAGGAAGAGAAAGAAACCAUUGUCUGCCUGAAGCCAGGUUUCCUGAUCUGAUUCCCAGAAAUCUCACUCUUCUCCAAAUAUCCAAGGCCAGGGGUUUGCUCCAAACCCAUCCUGAGGAGCACCUUUAAAAAAAAUCACAGUCAUCAGUUCAAAAGAAUUUGUAGCUAAAAAUGUUCUUCAUUUAAAAAAAAAAAAUUGUCUCCACAUAGGUGAGUACCUACCAUUCGCUUAGCAUUUAAAAGUUUUAAGUUACACCAGUCCUGGAGAAGCUUUUAACUGGUCUCUACUUGUUUUACUGAAAUUAGAAUAUGCAGCCACAAAGUAAAUUUGGUUAUGGUUAUAUUACCUAUAAGAUAGCUUAAUUUAGAGGGAAAUCACCAUGCUUUUUUAGCCAACUUUGUUUUUCAUGUAAAAUUAAAACAGCCAAAGAGACAAAACCAUUUUAUUUAAAAAAGAUUUACAAUUUUAAAUAAAAUGUAAUUGCUAAGACUAAGUUCCAGUCCCUGUGCUCUUUAAUAGUUCGUAACACCUUGUUUUCUCGCGUAGGACCUGCCUGGUUCCUGACCUGGGCGCUAGCCUGCCUCAUUAGCUCUGUCAUUAGAUCAAGAGCUCUGUGAGCUCAGGCCCCUGUC
This 1463-nucleotide long non-coding RNA is filed under the name Capra hircus (goat). Its description in RNAcentral is "lncRNA (ENSCHIG00010028725.1)". Lineage: Eukaryota; Metazoa; Chordata; Mammalia; Artiodactyla; Bovidae. The record is from RNAcentral.